This 2088-nucleotide ribosomal RNA is filed under the name Triticum aestivum (bread wheat). RNAcentral's name for it is "partial small subunit ribosomal RNA". Lineage: Eukaryota; Viridiplantae; Streptophyta; Magnoliopsida; Poales; Poaceae. The record is from RNAcentral.
GAAGGGAAGAAGGACGGCAGCGUCAGAGGGAAGGGAGGGAACCGGGAGAGGAGAGGGCGAGGGUUCAGGGAGGGUGGAUCGAUCCGAUCCCAAAAUGAAAGGGGAGGCUGUUCGAAAAAGGCCGCGCCGUGGUACUGCCAGCGGCUCGACGAGGCGCGGGUCGAGCUCCUCGUGUUGUAGCUCCACUAGGAGGUAAGGCUCGGGAGGGGGGAGAGGCUAAACCACGGCACAGUCUGACUUUUUAGAACCGGAGUGUAAAGUCUUUUUUAUUUUUAUUUUUUAGAAAGGGAAAGAACGAGCAAGCCGGGGACCUAACCGCACAAGGCAACGACACCAUCGCGAUCUAGAGCAGACAGGUACAGCGGAUCCAGCGUUUCGAGACCAACGUCUCGAUACCCAGCUCUCGACACAUUAACCACCGGUUGGACUACUAAGAGCGCACGAACAGGACGCUCAAAAGUACCACUUCCCGUCGACCAGUCCGGUUGGGUCCGGAGGUACUUGGAGGUGGACUCCCACACCAUCGUACAUGCCCUAGGUACGAGUGAACAGGUCGACCCUCAAAUCAAAAGUCCGGAUUGGAAAGUAGAAAGACGAGGAUUGAAACGACAAUGUACGCAACAUGAAGAAGUAAACAAACGGCCAACAGGAUUAAUACAUGUCAAACUUGACUUUACGAUGACGAAACAGAAUACCUAUGUUUAGACUUUUCUUAAAAUUCGCUCGUAUCUAUUUAGUAGGUGGAAACUACUAAAGAGGUCACCCUUACUCCGGAACGAACAAACAUUAAUCGAAACCUUCAGCCAAUCAUCGGAUUCAUAGAAUAGAACACACAUACGAAUAUACGAAAUACCGUAUAAAGGACAUGGUUGUUAUAUUUAUUUACACAAUCGUAUGGAAGACAACAGUUACGUCUGUUGUCAAGGAACAUUAAAGUCAAAUAGAAGACCUCACAGUAAAGUCAAAUAGAAGACGACUUACGACUACGAUGAAUCAUACACGAAUGUAUAAGUACGACCUUUCUAUUAUGACAACAAUCUAACAAAUGACAAGAAAGUAAACACGUAUACCGAUUGAGACAAAGGGACGUGAGACGUAUACGGGACAAGGCUCCCUCACGACAAACCAGAAAUUAUGAAUGCUGCCAGUUAAUUAUAAUAACAACAUUACGUAUGAGAGACCCUCUACUCGGAUAGGAACUCCUACUACUACUGCUGCUACUUAUGUUACUACUCCUACUCCUACUUUUUCUACUGCUACUACAACUCCCUCCACUACGAUCACCUUCUAGAUCCGUCUGUUCCUCACUCUUCUUCUCGUCCUUUCGGUACCUCUUCGAACCGUACUUCCAGUAAUGACCACACUUGGCACAUUGAUAGUUUUUCUCGUUCUGGCAAUGCAAACAGGAGAGGUUCGGUCUACAGAAGUUCUCGAGUGUGAGUCUUUGGAUACAGUAAUAGCCCCUCUAGUUCAAGCUCCUGGACUUGUGACUCGACGUCUGUGUUCGCCGUCUCGUCAAGUUCCGCGGCCCGGGCUCGUCCCAGUUAAGCUACCCACUCGGCAGGCACCGUCGUCAGGUUCUACUGCUCCUCCAACUGCUCUGGCCGCAACUGUUCUUCCUGCAGCUCGAGUACUACUACGUCCGGAGGCACAGCUCUAGGUCCCGGCACCUCCGUGAGUUCCGACGCCUACCGCUGUAGCAGUCGCGGUAGUACCUCAACUGAUUGAUCCAGGACCUUCCACCUCAACACAGGACUAUUAUCCCCCCCAACCCAGUUACGAUAGAAAACCGGUACAGGAGAACUUAAAACGUCGACGCAUUAACCUCCGAGACACAGAGACAACUUUCGACUUUGUCAUAAAACCUCGUACAACAAAGCCUACGCCCAUACCGAGGUCUCGCACCACUUACGGUGGAAAAAAACCUCUACAUCCAAAACCUCCGCAAAUUUGUACACUACUAGUCGUUUGACGAACGAGAAUACCCUUUUAGACUUAACCGACACGGUUCAAAACGAUGUUUGCCUACAGUAAGACACAAGGUCUGUUAUACAGCAAGAUCGAUCGAAAACACAAAACAAUUGAUUG